Molecule: ribosomal RNA, 495 nt
Filed under: uncultured bacterium
Lineage: Bacteria
Description: partial 16S ribosomal RNA
Rfam family: Bacterial small subunit ribosomal RNA
Source: RNAcentral
GAUGAACGCUGGCGGCGUGCCUAAUACAUGCAAGUCGAGCGAACGGACGAGAAGCUUGCUUCUCUGAUGUUAGCGGCGGACGGGUGAGUACACGUGGAUAACCUACCUAUAAGACUGGGAUAACUUCGGGAAACCGGAGCUAAUACCGGAUAAUAUUUUGAACCGCAUGGUUCAAAAGUGAAAGACGGUCUUGCUGUCACUUAUAGAUGGAUCCGCGCUGCAUUAGCUAGUUGGUAAGGUAACGGCUUACCAAGGCAACGAUGCAUAGCCGACCUGAGAGGGUGAUCGGCCACACUGGAACUGAGACACGGUCCAGACUCCUACGGGAGGCAGCAGUAGGGAAUCUUCCGCAAUGGGCGAAAGCCUGACGGAGCAACGCCGCGUGAGUGAUGAAGGUCUUCGGAUCGUAAAACUCUGUUAUUAGGGAAGAACAUAUGUGUAAGUAACUGUGCACAUCUUGACGGUACCUAAUCAGAAAGCCACGGCUAACUACGU